RNAcentral lists this long non-coding RNA (352 nucleotides) under Heterocephalus glaber (naked mole-rat). RNAcentral's name for it is "lncRNA (ENSHGLG00000036299.1)". The record is from RNAcentral. Lineage: Eukaryota; Metazoa; Chordata; Mammalia; Rodentia; Bathyergidae.
CCACUACUGAGGCCCUGAGGAUUCGCUGCUGGGAACAGGAACCUAUCUGUGUGAACUCUGAGGAUCGCCCCCUUUCUCUUGUCUCAGGAAGAGAAGUAUUGUAGCAAGGCAUUCAUCACCUGCUGAUCAGGGCCUGAGGUUCAGCUCUGCUUUAGAGUCUUCAGGAAUAUUAAGCUGGAAGACGUUUGAGAGUGUCUCCUCCUGCACAUACAGCCGAGGUACUGUGGUCACCUGUGGCGGUUCAUCACAGUUCCUCGAUGCCAACUGCGGUUCCAGCUCUGUGUCAUCUUGGAGUCACUGAUCAUCCUAGAAAUGCUCCAGUACACAGCCCCACCAUGUUCUCUGUGCAGCC